GACCACCGCUCCCACUGCUCCUACCACUCCAUCGUGUCUCAGCAUUCUCCCUGACAGUGAGAAAUGCAGUGAUUCUCAAUUUGUUCAGGAAGAAGCACAAGUAAAACCUAUUGAUGGUAGUCCAAACACUCCCAGUAAACACAAUAUGGAAAUUAAGGCACCGAUGAUUGGAAUGAAAUUUGAUUGUGAUGAUAGUGCAUAUGAGUUUUACAAACAAUAUGCUCAUAGAAUGGGCUUCAGUGUAAGGAAACAGUAUGUUAGGUGAGGAAGUGCUGGACAUGUUAAGAGGAGAACAUUUUGUUGUUCAAAAGAAGGUGAACGAGCUAUUGACAAACGUCGUGAACAGGAUUUGCAAGAAAUGAGAAUUAAAUGUUGUUUGUCCUCUAUGGAGGGUGAGAUCCAUGGUGAAGUUGUUCCCAAGAAUGUUUCAUAAGAUGACGGUGGAUUUGAGUCACAUGUGGACAUUUCUCAAGGCAUAUGUGGGAUCAAAACAAAACCUACUGUAGGUCGUCCAAGAGGAAGGUUGAAAAGUUCAUUAGAAGGGACAAAAAAAAAAAUCUCAAAGUAAGAAGGAUCAAUCCAAAAAGACUUGUGGAGCAAGACAAUUUCAAUCAUGUGGUGGCCUAAAUAGAGAAUCUUUCAGUUGUAGUAAUUUGGUUGGACAAGACAAUGUUGUUGGGUUCAAUGGUUUGAAUCAGGAAUUUUUUGAGUGUGAAUUUUUGGUUGGACAAGAUCAUAUUGGGUUAUAUGGCUUGAAUCAGGCUUCGGUAGAUCCUGAUAUUGACAACCUUUGAAAAACACCAUAUUGGUUGUUUUCCUUGUGUUUUGCACAGUUUUUGGACAAUAUAUUGGCUGUUAUAUAACAUCUAGUGGACAGAACUUUAACAGUAUUUUUUGGACAGCACAUUUGACUUCGACAGAUUUUUGGAAAGCAUAUCUGACAAUUUGGAUAGAUUUUUUGGACAGCACAAUUUGGACAGAUUUUUUGGACAUCACAAUUUGGACGUAUGCAAUGGGAAAGCUCAUUUUUAUAUCUUUGUAUCUAUGUAUUUGCAUAUUUGAACAAGACAGCUUUGAAUGAAUGCAAUAGAAUGAUAUGGAUGGAAAUUUAAAUUCAGGAACUUUAAAUUUAGCAAUAGAUUUGUUGAGCUUUUCUUUUUAUUUAGCUCUCUUUAAGAUUGGUUGGCUGGAUGAAACAUGCAAAAGUUUGCAACAUGGUUGGCUGGAUGAAACAAAUAUCUCCAAGUAUCUUUA
Molecule: long non-coding RNA, 1254 nt
Organism: Quercus lobata
Lineage: Eukaryota; Viridiplantae; Streptophyta; Magnoliopsida; Fagales; Fagaceae
Exons: 6
Source: RefSeq, a predicted model, not a curated record